This 253-nucleotide ribosomal RNA is filed under the name uncultured bacterium. RNAcentral's name for it is "partial 16S ribosomal RNA". It matches the Rfam family "Bacterial small subunit ribosomal RNA", at positions 524 to 776 of the family's 1533-position model. The record is from RNAcentral.
UACGACGGGGGCUAGCGUUGCUCGGAAUCACUGGGCGUAAAGCGCACGUAGGCGGAUUGUUAAGUCAGGGGUGAAAUCCUGGAGCUCAACUCCAGAACUGCCUUUGAUACUGGCGAUCUCGAGUCCGGGAGAGGUGAGUGGAACUGCGAGUGUAGAGGUGAAAUGCGUAGAUAUCUGGAGGAACACCGGUGGCGAAGGCGGCAUCCUGGACCGGUAUUGACGCUGAGGCGCGAAAGCCAGGGGAGCAAACGGG